Molecule: transfer RNA, 75 nt
Filed under: Lentisphaerota bacterium
Lineage: Bacteria; Pseudomonadati; Lentisphaerota
Description: Lentisphaerae bacterium (anaerobic digester metagenome) tRNA-Glu
Rfam family: tRNA
About the family: Transfer RNA (tRNA) molecules are approximately 80 nucleotides in length. Their secondary structure includes four short double-helical elements and three loops (D, anti-codon, and T loops). Further hydrogen bonds mediate the characteristic L-shaped molecular structure. tRNAs have two regions of fundamental functional importance: the anti-codon, which is responsible for specific mRNA codon recognition, and the 3' end, to which the tRNAs corresponding amino acid is attached (by aminoacyl-tRNA synthetases). tRNAs cope with the degeneracy of the genetic code in two manners: having more than one tRNA (with a specific anti-codon) for a particular amino acid; and 'wobble' base-pairing, i.e. permitting non-standard base-pairing at the 3rd anti-codon position.
Source: RNAcentral
GCCCCCUUCGUCUAUCGGCUAGGACGCCAGGUUCUCAUCCUGGUAAGAGGGGUUCGACUCCCCUAGGGGGUGCCA